Molecule: long non-coding RNA, 10452 nt
Filed under: Solanum melongena (eggplant)
Lineage: Eukaryota; Viridiplantae; Streptophyta; Magnoliopsida; Solanales; Solanaceae
Description: long non-coding RNA (SMEL_LNC000039)
Source: RNAcentral
UUGCUUAUUUUAAUUCCCAUUUUGACUUUUUCAGAAUCCAUUGCGCCCCUUGGUGUUAGGGGGUGAUCACUCUAUAUCCUAUCCUGUUGUAAGAGCUGUGUCUGAAAAGCUUGGAGGGCCUAUUGAUAUCCUUCACCUUGAUGCCCAUCCUGACAUUUAUCAUGCCUUUGAAGGAAACAAAUACUCACAUGCAUCAAGCUUUGCACGGAUAAUGGAGGGUGGUUAUGCUCGACGGCUUUUGCAAGUAAUAUAUGUUCUUUCUAUAGACCAGCUAAGCAUAUAUAACUUUGUAUGCUAUUUCUUGGUUUAAUCAAAUACAAAAUAUUUACCAGAACACUUGAUCUUAUAUGUAGGUGGGAAUUAGAUCAAUUAAUAAAGAAGGUCGAGAACAAGGAAAAAGGUUCGGUGUGGAGCAAUAUGAAAUGCGAACAUUUUCCCAAGACCGACAAUUUUUGGAGAAUCUGGUCUGUAUAUCUUUACCUUCGCUUUCCUUUACCUUACCCUCUUGUAUUUUCUGUCCAAAUCAUAUACAUGCAAAUAUGUUCAUCACUUCAGGAAUUCUGAAUAUGAUGAGUCUAUUCCAGAUGCCUAAUACUCUCACAUUUCUUUCUGUCUCAAUAUAUCCUACUAUAAGCUAUGAUCCCCUUCAAUUUCAUUAUAUUUGCUGUUACUUACCAAAUGUAGCAACUGCUAAUCUUCCAUUGUCUAUACGCUGGAAUUUUGUUAUUUAUUUGCUUCAUUAAUAAUCUCAAUUGUUCAACUAUUAUUCUUGUACAUUCAGAAACUUGGCGAAGGUGUGAAGGGCGUGUAUAUCUCAGUGGAUGUUGACUGUAUGGAUCCAGCAUUUGCUCCUGGAGUAUCUCAUAUAGAACCAGGAGGUCUCUCUUUCCGCGAUGUUCUAAACAUACUGCAUAACCUUCAAGCUGAUGUUGUUGGUGCUGAUGUGGUUGAGUUCAACCCGCAGCGUGAUACUGUUGAUGGCAUGACUGCAAUGGUUGCUGCGAAGCUGGUAAGAGAACUUACUGCCAAGAUAUCCAAGUGACCUGCAGUAAUUUCUAAAAUUAUGAAGGAAGAAUUACCAUGCAUCCAAUAGAGACCACUAGAUUUGUACUCAUCUUUACUGGGGAGGUUUAACAGAGAAUAAGCACCAAAAUGAAGUGUUUAUUCACCUUAUUGUAACUCUAAAACUAAAAGCUAUAUUUGCAGUUCAUUAUGAGGACCCUGUGAUUCUUAUAAUCUUUUAAGUGGUGCAGAUUUUGAUGUGUUCUGUUAACUUGUGUAGGGAUGUUUUGAAUCUUUUAUAGUGUUUUCAAAUAGCUGUAGGGAAAAGUGUGUCAGUGAAUUUUAGGCAAAAGCUAGAUUAUGAUUCUACUCUUACACUAUAUUUAAAUAUAUUAUAAAUAUUUAAUUAAAUAUUUAUUCUUUUAAAGUCUGUUAACCUCCUACAUCUAUUAAGAAAUUAUACAUUGAUUUAGGAAGUGAUGCAUUGAAUCAGUUAUUAAUUUAAUUAGCACGUAAUUAAUAAAUUUAUCAAGAAAUUAGAUAGAACAAUCAAUUUAUAAUAAACUGGAUUCUAAAUAUUUUUUUGUCAUAUUAAUAUUGCUUAAUGAAUUAGCCACAAUAAUUUUUUAAGUUAUAAUAUUUUAAAAGUCACAUAUCUUACCUCAAUCUUUUAACCUUCUAUUAUUUGUGGUGAGAAAGAUCAAAAGUUGUUUUUUUAAUUUAAUGAUUUUAAUGAUACUGGACAAAGAAUUCAAUGAAUCUAUAAGUACAAUUAUAUAUGGAGUACUCAUUAUAUAUGUGUCAUGCUUCUCUUUUACUUCCACAAACAACAUAUUUCUCAUUUGCAUCUCAAUUUUUAGUUAUUAUGAUAUUAUAUUUUUCUUUUUAUGCUUUAGAAUAAUUAUUAAUACUAUUUUGCAUGAAUUUUAUAUGGGCAACUUUCACAUAUAGUAAACAUAAAAUUCAUAUUUGUAUGCGAUAACAAAUUUUGCACAGUUGCACUCCAUAGCAAACAUAUAAAUGUAUAAUUCGCUAUACAUAUACAAUUGAAGCGAAUUAUAUAAAACAGAGUGUAUAAAACGAGAAAGAGAGAGAGACUUGGGCAGAGAAUUGUAUAAAAACGAAUUAUGUAAUUAUAAAUGUAUAGAACGAUCAUAUAUAAUUUAGUGUAAAUUAGGUAUAUAACAUUUUUUAUAGUAAUAUUCUCAAGUUAAUAGCACUAGAGUUUGAAUUUCAUUGUAUGACAUUUAAUAUCUCAAGUUAUAGCAUUUUAAAAAAAUAUAUAAUGUUAAUUUUAAAUUAUUAAAAAGAGUUGUUAAAAUAAAAAAUAAAUUAAAAAAACGGACAAAUUAAUAAUGGAAAAUGAGAUCUUUUAUUAAAUAAAUUAAAUAUAAUUAUUAAUUACUGUUAAUAAAUUAGCACGUUUUAAGGGAUUUUAAAUUUUUUUAGAUUAGUUAGUUGCCUUAAUUCUCUCAAAUUAGUUUAAAUGAUAUUAAUUUUUGAUUUAAUUCCUUGAAAAGCUCUACCAAAUUGGCAUGCUUUCCAAAAUUUCACAAUCUUUUUGAGAUUUGCAGAUUUUAUUUUCAUUUUUUAUUAGUAGUUGAAUAAAUUUUGGCGUUGAAAACAAUUUGAUUUGAUUUGAUGGAGAACAAUGUGUCGAUAUUAAUAAAACAUGGUGGAAAAUGGAAUUCAUCAUAUUGAUUUUUGUUAUGAUUUGUUGUUUUAAUUAUGAAUUGUUGGUUUUAAUUAUAUUUAUUGUUUUGUACAUGUAUAAAAGUGUUCGAUUUUUUUUUAAUUAUUGUUAGAUCUAAAAUAUACUUUGUAUGUUCUUUUUUUGGAUAAACAAUCAAGUUACGUAUGGCAUUUUGAAAAACGAUAAGUAAAUAUAAAUGUGUUUGAGUUGUAAUUAAAUUGAAGAUUCGCGUGUUAGUUGAUUUGUGAAGAAAAUUAUAAAAAUGUACAUUUAUUAACUAGACAAAUAAUAAUUAGAUAUAAUUCUUUGUACAGGUAAAGUAUUACAAAUGUAUUACAAAUGUUUGAAAAUUAUAUAAAAAUUGUAUUUAAUGGUAAAACCUGCUCAGAUAAUAUUCAAAAAGUAAGAAGAUAUAAUUUUGUGUAUUGGUGAAGUAUGAAAAUUGUAUUAAUUGUGUAUGAAAUUUAUAAGAACUUGUAUUAAUUGUGUAUGAAAAUCUAUAUUUUGUUAAACUCACAAUAUAUGUUUCUGUUGAAAUUAUAAUAUAUAUUUUGUAUUAAUUUUGUACAGAAACUAUAUUCUUUUUGUUUAAUUGAAAUAGUGUAUAUGUCAGUGAAUGAUAUAUUAAAUGCGUAUGAAGUUUGUACGAAUUAUUUUGAUAGGUACAGAUACAAAAUCAGAAAUUGGUCCACAUUUUAGACCGGUUACAGCAACAAGUUCUUUUAACCCAAGAUGUAACUUUGUACCAUUUACAUUCAUAACAAACAUGUCAUCCCUGUCAUUUUUAGUUUCAAGAAUAAAUAUAUGUCAUAACAUCUGACAUUGGAUUUUUAUGUCAUGCAAAUCGUAAAAAAAUUCAAAUGGUGUUUCUUGUAAGAAUUGUUGAAACUUGUCUUGACCUAGGAAGGUCAACAGAUCCGCAAACACAUUCAUGUUAAUACAUGAAGACAAAUGUAUUUGUAUCUUCUUCUCCUAUAAUAUUGGUAAAUUAAAUUAAUACAUUUAUCAUACUAUAUAAUGUCAUAUAAAAUCAUAUAUAUACCGGUAUAUUAAAUGGACAUUCAAUUCAUACACAAAGCAUACAAAAAUUGUACAUUAGUUCAUACACAAUGCAUACAAUAUCAAUACAUAUUUAAUUUUUAAAAAUAAUAAUAAUUUAUGACUUUUAAACUAUAAACUACUACUCAAACAGUACCAAUACAUUAAUUCAUACAUCAAAAUCAGAACAUAAAAUAUACAGCUUUAAUACUUUUAAUAAUAGUAAAAAAUAUACAACAUACAACACUAAUACAUUAUUCAUACACUGAUAUUGUAAUAGACAAUAUAGCAUUUCAUACACAUAGCAUACAAAGUUAAUACAUUAAUGCAUACAUUCCUAUAGUGAAAUAUAGUAAUUAUUUUAUACACAAAAUCAUACAACAUUAAUACAUUAUUAUUUAUCAAAAAUCAUACUUUGUUGUAAUCCAAUUAUAUAUUCACAAAUCAUACAAUAUUAAAUCAUACAAUAUUCAUAUAUAAUUAUAAUAUACAAUACUAAAAACUCAACUGAUAUAUAAAUCAUACAAAUUUCAUGUACUAUACUAUUGACAAAUAAAAUCAAAAUUAAACACACUUAAAUCAUACAUUUUAAUUGAAAUUUGAAAAAAUCUUUUUACUGACCUUAACAACUUGUUUAGGUUUAUUUGUGGCUUAUCUCUGACCUAUCAAUUUCAAUGCCUUUUGCUUUUUUUGAUUUUGUAUUACAAUAUAUUCAUACACCGUUCAUACAUUGUUUAUACAUUUAUAAUGUAAUAAAGUAGAUGUAGCAUUUCAUACAAACUUACAACAUUCUUUCAUAUACAAUAUAUUCAACACUAAAUAUACAAAUCAAAACAUAAAGUAUGUAAUUUUAUUAUGGAUAUUAAUAUUCAACAAUAUCAUAAACUUGAUACAAAACUUAAUACACAAAUCAAACAAAUUUAAUAUACAUAUCAUACCAAAUUAAUACAUUGAAUCAUACACAAUUCAUAAAUGUUUCAUAUAUUGAUAUUGUAAUAUAAAAAAAUGUGUAAUUUCAUACAGUGAAUCAUACACAAUUCAUACAUAAAUAAAAGAACAUAAAAAUGUACUAUACUAUUCACAAUUAACUCGAAAUUAGAAUAAAAUUAAAUAGAUAAUUUUAAUUUAAUUUUUUUUAAAUUUUUUUUUUACUAACCUUUAAAUUUUUUUUGAGUUUAACUGUUUCUUCUUCUUCUUGUAAAUGUGAAGUAUCGAUUUCAGAGGUUCUUGAUUUUUUUUAUUUUGAUUUUAUCAAUUCUUCUACAAAAUCAGAUUCAGAAUCUGAUGAGUACUCAAUUUGUUUUCCUUUCCUUUUCUUUCCUCUGUCUUUUGCCCUUUUCUCCGAUUCGUCUACUUUCUGCUUUUCUUUCCCUUUUCUCUUCUUCUCGGAUUCCUUUGGAUGUUUGUUUGUUUUUUUUUUCAUUUUUGAUUUCUCUGAUCUAGCUUUGUCUUUUGCAUAUGAAGGCUGAGUUUGUGAUAAAAUUUUGAAAGAUGGAGCAUGAAAUUCGUCUGAGCUUUGUUCAUCAUUCAACCUUUUGAAUUUUCGCAGGAUUUCAUUGCCUCUCUUCGACAUUGAACAAUUUUUUAAGUGCAAGAGAUGAAGAUUUGAGUGCAGAAAAGGAAGAUUUGAGUGCAAAAUAGUAGAAUUUGAGAAGAUGACUGUUAAGAUUGAAAAUUUUUUGAGCAUGCAAAAGAGAUGAUUUGGUAAAAAAUUAAUUGUUAGGCGUGCAAAAGAGAUGAUUUUGUGAGGAUUUGAGGAAGAACAAAUGGGGCAGUGUGACAGUUUUAAAAUAAAACUGUAAUUAUUUUAGAUACUAGUUAUUAAUUAUGGAAUGAUAAAAUCCCUAUUAUUUUGUAAUUUUUUUGAAAAAGGUAACUAUAUAAUAUUUAUUUGAAUUUACACUAAUUAAGAGUUUUGUUUAAAAAAGGUAACUUAAAAUAAUUAAUUUAAUUAACUACAUUGGUUUAAAAAAGGUAACUGAAUAAUAAAUGUAAUUAUUUAAAUAAGUUUAUUAUUAUUUAAAAAAAUUAAUGAGAAUAAUAUGUUUCUUCUUGAUAUGCUAUAACUUGAUAGUAAUAUGCUAUAAAUAGUUUAUUAUUAAAAAAAUAUGUUUAUAACUUGAUAUUUAUCAUCUUAAAUGUGUGUGUAGUGUUAUUUUUAUUACAAUUUAAAUUUGUACAAAAUGAGAAAGAGAGAAAGGCAAAAGAGAUUUGAAGCAGGGAAUAUACAAAACGAGAAAGAGAGAAAUUAUAUACAAUUUGAAUUUGAAUAAAACGGGAAAGAGAGAAAGGCAAAAGAACUGGGUAGGGGAAUAUUUUUAUUGUAUAAUUAUAAGUGUGUAGGACGAAAAUAUAUAUAUUUGCAUGUGUAUAUACAAUUUUCUCUCGCUUUAUACAAACAGAAAUGCAAUUUAUACACUGCGCUUCUAUUUGUAUAAGCGAGAGAGGCGAAGAUGGCAAGCGAUAUUAGGGAGAGUGGCGAGCGAGAUCUGGAAGUGGGAGAGAGGGGAACAAAAAUAUACAUAUUUAUACAAUUUUCUCUACUUUAUACAAAUAGAAACAAAUUUUAUACACUUCUGUUUGUAUAAAAUGGAGAGGAAGCGAGCGAGAGAGGAGAGUGGCAAGGGAGAGUUUGAGGGAGAGAGGUGACUGACAAACAGUUUACUACGGGACACAAUUAAAUCAAAGGGUGAAUUUAUUAAUUUGCCAUUAUAUACAAUUUUCCCAUUUUACAUUGUUAAGAACUAAUUACAUAAUUUUUUAUUCUUUUCAAAAUUACAAAUAUUAUAUCAAAGUACUUUGAGUCAAAAACUAAUGUAAUUCAAAAGCAAUACUUGUACGGUAAUUGACUUAACUAUCUAGACAUAAUACUGUAAGCACAUCAUAAAUUAAGAUAUCAAUUUAAUAAUCUUAGCACAAAAACAAGUUUAGUAUUUAGAAAUACUUAAAGAGAAGUUCAAACACAAAAUGUUUGUCCGAAUAAUGUGGCAUAAUGUUGGUUGGUUUUAGGCAAAUAUCUUUAUGUAAGUCAUUAACUUAAUAUAGGUAUGACAACGAUAAAAUUAUUGCUAAACCUGCAGUGGGAUUAGUGUUUGUUCAAAAUCGAUUUCUCUUUAUUUUUUUAUUUUCUCUAAGUUUCUAUUUGAAAUGCUGGCACAUAGCAUAUAAUUAAAAACUAAAUUUAGCCAUUAAAUUAACUAUAUGUCAUCAAUACAAAAGAAACUUGGAGAAAAUAGAGAGAAGGGAAAUGGAGAGAAGUCGGCUUCUCCAAUGUUUACCUUGUUUGGAUGGAUACCCGUAGUAUUGUAUGGUGUGAAUACUAUUAGUCACUUCCUCUAUUUUAUAUUAAUAGAAUUUUUGAAAUAUAUUUUAUUAUUCAAAGUUUAAAAUGGAUAUUCAAUUUAUUUUUUUUUGGAAAAACACAUAAAUUUCCUCUUGAAUCUGUCUUGAAAAGUCAGUUGCACGUUUAAACUAUUGUCGUAGCCUAUUACACACCUAAUAUUAUUCAAAGUGAUAUUAAUACCUCUUUGAAGGUGACGUGACAAAGAAAAUAUCUUCACCUUCUCAAGGUGUGGUGCAUGAGAAGAAAAAAUAUAUAUUAAAAUGAUAAAUUUAAACACAAUAAACUUUUUUAUUGGUCAUUAUAUAGUUAAGUAUUAUAAUUUUUAAUAUAUUAAUUAUGUCAAUUUUUUUUUACAUCUUUUUAUUGGUGGCCCAAACUUUUUUAAAUUUUUAGAUUUUUCUUUAUUUUGAGUUCUUCUUCGAUAAUCACUGUAAUUUGUAUUAUCAAUUAUUUGAUGGCAGCAUAUUUAACACUCUACCCUUAAAAGGGAAUUCUUAAAAAGUAAUAGAAAGGAGUAAAAAAAUAUGAUUUUCUUAUUAAUAAUUUUCAACUUAGGGAAUUCUUAAGAAGUAAUAGAAAGGAGUAAAGAAUAUGAUUUUCUUAUUAAUAAUUUUUAAUUUAAAGUUUAUGAUUUUUUCGUUCGAACUAGCGGAGGAUUCAUCAAAUCAAAAGCUCACCAAAACAAAAUUAUGAUAAUGACUUCAAUUAAAAAUUCUGUAAUAUUUAUGCAUAAAAUUUAUGAUUUUAUUAUCUAAAUUUAUCAAAAGUUCAUCGAGAAUUUUCUUUUUCAUUAUUUAUCUUUUCUAUUCUUGUUGGAGCACUACCUACAAUGACUACAAUGUCAUUUUUCUAUCUUUGAUCAUCAUCACAAAUAGAAAAUACUAAUGAAAUAUUUGAUUUACAGAGUUAUCAAGUUUUUAAAGAAUUUUACAGAUUUUUGAAAUUUUUUAUUUAUUCCACUAGCAAAAAUGAUGUUGCCCGCCGCCGCCAACAUUUGUAUACUUCAUAAUCGAUUUACUGUCUCCUAUUUUCUCUUUAAAAUAUAUUUUUCCUUCCAUUUAUGAACAAUGAAGAAAAACGAAGAAAUGAAUUUUAAAGAGAUAUGUAUGGUUAGAGCAGAGCUAGGUUCUUUUUUUUGCAAAAAUCUAAAAAAUAUCAAGGAAAACAGGUUUAAAAAACUUUAAAUAAUAUUCUUUACAUGUAAAAUUGUGUGUACAAUACAUUUUAAAACAAAAUUGAAAAUUGUCUUUAGAAAACAAAAUUGAAAAUUGUCUUUAGAAGGUGACAUUAAUGUCAAAAAAUUAUGUACUAGGUCGCUACAAUAGUUACCUGUUUUUUUUUUUUUGGAAAAAGUUCAAUAGAAAAUUCAAUUUUUUUUCUAUAUUUGAUCUUUCCUUUAAUUAAGGUUGAUACUCCUUUUGUUUCUAUUUACAUAUUGAUAUUUCUAAAAAUAGAUAUUCUUACCCCAUUUUUCCUAUUUUACCUUUGACGAGUAAUUAGACCAAUAUAGAAAAUUGAGUAAUUUAUUCAUAUUCAUUUAUCCAAUAAAUAAAUUCAUAUAUAUUUAUUAAAAAAAUAAUUUAAGAGAAUAUAUUUAAUAAGAAUAUAAUGAUAAGCUUAUGUAGUUUAGGAGGAGCGUAUUUCAAUUUCUAAGAGAAAAAUAAAUCAACUACCUGCAAAGUUAACUUCACAAAAAAGACAGUUGUGAAAAAUAUGAUUGAAAUGAUGUCUUACUAAAUGUGCAUUGCGCGAGGAGUAAAAUCUGUAGAGUUAUCAAAUUUUUAUUGUGUUUGUAUUUAUUAUGAGAUUGAGGACAUGUUUUUUUCAUGAGAGAAAUGAUUUGGCGUUAGUAACCAUCAGUCGCAGUACUGCUAAAAAGGACUGCAGGUCUUAUCGUCUGUUUGAAUUUGUUAUGAGAUAAAAUAACAUGUUUUUUUAGUGAGAGUGUAAAUUGUGAUAAGAGUUGAGUCUCCAGUCUCCAUCCAUUCGCUGUAAUCAAUUCCAUUACUACUGAAAAGGAAGUUCUUAGCUCUAUUUAACUUCAAUUGCCUUUUUUUUUUCUCUCAAUCACACUUAACACUGCUUCAUUUCUUGUGUAGUCACUUCCUCCUUUAUUCUUUGUUUACUUUAAUUUCCAGCUCUUUCGAUUUCUGCAUUUUUUUUUAUAUAUUUUUCCUUUUUGUUGUGUUGAAUCAGAGUAAACAAAUAUGAAGAGUGCUGGAAGUAUGGGAAUCAACUAUAUGCAGAAAUUGCUAACGUCAAAUGUUCCAAAAGAAGUAGUCAAAAGAGGACAGGAUCGUGUUGUAGAGGCAUCUCUUACACUUAUUCGUGAAAGAGCAAAACUUAAGGUAUGUUAUUUUGAGUGGGACAGAGGCGGAUCUAGAAUUUUAUGGGUUUCAUAUUCGUAAUUUUACCACCACCAUCAUGCAAAAUGGACUUUUAAAAUUGAAAAUGUAGGAUUUAAAUUUUAAGUUACUUUGAUAGGGAGAGCUUGUUCGUGGACUUGGAGGUGCAGUAGCGUCAACGUCACUUCUUGGAAUUCCUCUGGGACACAACUCUUCAUUUCUCCAGGGCCCUGCAUUUGCUCCUCCUCUUAUACGAGAGGCUAUUUGGUGUGGCAGUACAAACUCCACAACUGAGGAAGGUUAGUCUACCUUUUCAAAAUUACUUUGGACAAAAUGAACAUGUAAAAGAUAUGAGAUAUCUUAACACGCCCAGACCAUAACUGGAUUAUAAAUGUUGGCUAUCAUCAGUGAACAACAAAUUGGGAUGGGUCUGAUACCACGUAAAGAUGGAUCUACUGUGUGUAGAAAAGAAUAAAUUAAUAAAUGCAGUCUAAUUCGCUAGACCUCUUGAAUGUUAAAAUACAUAAUGGAGUCAUGUAUUCCUUUAUUCGUAUUGUGCAGGAAAAAUAUUAGAUGAUCAACGUGUCUUAACUGAUGUUGGUGAUCUGCCAGUACAAGAGUUACGAGACACAGGCAUAGAUGACGAUAGGUUGAUGAGUACAGUAAGUGAAUCUGUCAAGCUAGUUAUGGACGAGGUAAGCCAUCACCUAUCGGAGAGUAUUUUAAUACAGUAGACCUUUGUUAGGAUGCACCCAUUAAAUUACUAAAAUCAUUAUAAAGGACUCACCCUGUAUGCUUCAAUUUUCUAACAUUUUCAGAAUCCAUUGCGCCCCUUGGUGUUAGGGGGUGAUCACUCUAUAUCCUAUCCUGUUGUAAGAGCUGUGUCUGAAAAGCUCGGAGGACCUGUUGAUAUCCUUCACCUUGAUGCUCAUCCUGACAUUUAUGAUGCAUUUGAAGGAAACAAAUACUCACAUGCAUCAAGCUUUGCACGAAUAAUGGAGGGUGGUUAUGCUCGACGCCUUUUGCAAGUA